Molecule: ribosomal RNA, 460 nt
Filed under: uncultured bacterium
Lineage: Bacteria
Description: partial 16S ribosomal RNA
Rfam family: Bacterial small subunit ribosomal RNA
Source: RNAcentral
CCUACGGGUGGCAGCAGUGAGGAAUAUUGGUCAAUGGGCGCGAGCCUGAACCAGCCAAGUAGCGUGAAGGAUGACUGCCCUACGGGUUGUAAACUUCUUUUAUAAAGGAAUAAAGUGAGGCACGUGUGCCUUUUUGUAUGUACUUUAUGAAUAAGGAUCGGCUAACUCCGUGCCAGCAGCCGCGGUAAUACGGAGGAUCCGAGCGUUAUCCGGAUUUAUUGGGUUUAAAGGGUGCGUAGAUGGGUUGUUAAGUCAGUGGUGAACGUUUGCGGCUCAACCGGAAAAGUGCAAUUGAUACUGGCAGCCGUGAGGAGAGGUGAGGUAGGCGGAAUGCGUGGUGUAGCGGUGAAAUGCUUAGAUAUCACGAAGAACUCCGAUUGCGAAGGCAGCUUACUAAACGGCCACUGACAUUGAUGCUCGAAAGUGUGGGUAUCAAACAGGAUUAGAUACCCGUGUAGUC